This is a long non-coding RNA of Spodoptera frugiperda (fall armyworm), 1790 nucleotides long. RefSeq lists it as uncharacterized. The transcript is spliced from 2 exons. NCBI's taxonomy places the organism in Eukaryota, Metazoa, Arthropoda, Insecta, Lepidoptera, Noctuidae. The record is from RefSeq and is a predicted model, not a curated record.
CACACCUAGGCUCUUGAAAUUAGGCGUGGUUUCCUGCUAUGUGCUUAAGGCCCAGCAGUAGAUACUUCAACCCAGUAAAAUGACAUUAGUCCACUGUGUAGCUGGUAGGGCUUGGAUGCAAAGAGCUAGAGAAUAGGGUUGAGCACGCCUCUGUACUUUUGACGGGGCCGAGCCUCUAGCUUCACUGUGACGGAUAGACUGACAGAUUAAUAUUUAUUUCUUUAUGUGUGUCUGGUUUAAUUUAAGUGUAUCUGGUUUAAUUGGAAUGAAUGAUUUGACUUUGACUUUGCCCAUGUUGAGCUGUAGACGGAAACUACUUAAGGAUGAUAUAUUCAUUCCUUUUGUUUAACCAGUUCUUCUGGAUAAUUUAAUCUCAUUCCUUUACAGUAAAUUAUAAACCAGAGUUUUAUACGGAUUGUUUGUUAAAGUACCAUGUGCAGGUAAUUUAAUAUUAAUUUAGAUAUAUAUAUUCCUACCGAAAUUAAAUUCAAAGUUUAAUAUAGUAUGAGUAAACACAAAAUAAAUCAACACUUUUAGUUGGUUGCUCAUGCGCAUACCGUUAGUUACCAACAGGAAAGGACUAUUUUCCCUACCAAUCAACUACGGUCAAUUUUAUUGUCACUGUGGGUUAGUGGGCCCAAAAUAAUCUAUGUCAUAAAAUAUUAUUUGAGCGCAUACAUGACUGUUCUUUAUAAUUUAUUUUUAUAAUAACUAUCGUGAGACAUACUAACACAUAGGGGAAGUCAGCUCAAAGCGGCCAUAGGAGGCAAAGAGGCCACUCUUAAUUUUUCGGUUAUUUGAAAUGAUAGCGCAACGUUGCCUUUCUGUACGUAUAACCAAACUCCCGCCCCGCGCCAGUCACUCAUUUUCAAGCGGUGAGAAUGAACCCGUGGUUCUAGUAACGACAAAUAUUUUUUUGUGCGUUUUGUUAAAAUAAUACGAGAUGGUCAAUAACUACAAGAGAAAAACAGCGCAGGCUUCUUGGGACGGAGGAAACGCCCGGGUGUCAUCACUGUGAGGACCGCCCGGAGGACACGGUAGAACAUACGGUGGCGGUGUGCCCUGGGUGGGCUGAGCACCGCCAAGUCCUCAGGGACCUCUCGCGCCCAGCACUGGUUCAGGCCAUGGUGCGGAGCGAGAGGGACUGGGAUGCCGUCUCCUCCUUCUGCGAAGCAGUCAUGCUAGCUAAGGAGGAGGCGGGGCGCGUGAGAGAACAAACCUCCUCACGCCCCAGCCGUCGCGAGAGACACUCCGGGCGUCGGGGAUCGCGGGACGAUCUCCGGCCACCGUAAGUGCGGGUCUGCGGACGGCGAGCAAGGGUAGCUCACCGCCCGAACAGAACCAGACCCGUGUGUGCGGCGCGUCGCGUUCCGCGCGCGCCUCAAAGAGCCAUCAGACCACCACAGAUGGGGCCCAGUAGGGCUGAUGCCUGGUCCGGAGCUGCGGACUACCUAGCGGGUUUACCAGGGCUCCGGCUCGAAAAGCAGGAGAAGGAACGGGGUGGUUUUUAGUCAGUAAGAGUCUGACACUCCCUCUCGCCUCGCCCAAGGCGGGAGAAGUCAUUGGAUGAUUUUCCCCCUCAAAAAAAAAGGCUUCUUGGGACGAAGCUAGGUAUAGGUAAAAACUCGUAGAUAAUGCAUAGAAGAUAUUAAUACUUAAAAUAAUAGAAGUAAGUAGAACUUACAUUAUUAUUGAUUGAGAUUGAUAAAUAAAAUUAUGACUGACUGUGAUUAAAAUAGGUAAAAUGUUGUUGAAUUUUUUAUAUGUGAAUUAUAUGUGUUGAUUUUUGA